ACCAACAUCUCCUGAAGCGGCACCCGCGGUAUUAACUCAACCCCCUAUGAUAAUAUCGCAGGACAUCAUUGACGCUUUAUCGGAGCCUUGGGUUGAGGUGGAAAACGUUAUCAAUGGUAACGUUGAACAUCCCCCUCAACCCAAUUCACCGAUUAUUGAGGAAAAUGAUGUUCUGCCAGAGAGAUUGGUGGUGGUAGAGGCCGAAAAUAACAUCAUUCGGUCACCAUCACCACCACCGUCACCCAUGAUAUUAUCACAGGGCGUCAAUGACAUACAACAACCAUCUGGAUCCGAGGUUGAUGUGGAACUUAACAUCAUCACACCACCACUCCCUCAGCCUCCUGCAACGUUCGAUCCGAUGAGUAUUAUUACUCAAAAUGUCAUUGACGCACUGGCAGAGCCGUGGGUUGAAGAGAGGAGGCAGGGUGAAGAGAUGGAUGUUGAAAAUGACAUCAUUCAACCCUCUCAAUUGUCACCCAUUCUAGGGCAAAUAAAUAAUAGAGUUGAGAAUAGGGUGGAGGGUGGAGACGUUGAUGUCGAAAACGAAGACAAUGACGACGACGACAACAUCAUUCCACCCACUCCCCCUCACUCACGAUCAAGGAGGAGUCGGCGCCCUAGAAAGCCUCGUAGACGUGCGCGAAAGUCCCCAUUAAUAUUAAUUACUAAUAAUUAUAAUAUUAAUAUUAAUAUUAAUGAUGUUAAUAUUAAUAAUUAAUAUUAAUAAAUCCUAUUUCCGUCCUACACUCAUAUCAAGUACAUUUAAUUCGGACGCGAUUUUCCAAAUUUUAACAUCAUACUACCUACAACACGAUGGCAAGCAUGCUGCUCCUCCUCGAGGUCUUGCUGGAUACCUAUCUUUGAACACAAAAAAAAUAUAUAUUUAUAUAGUAUAAAUAAAAGUCUUUCAAAGAUAGUAACAGAAGGCAGCAAAUUUAUAAUUAAACUUUAUUAGUAACCUGUUUAAUUUAUUAUUUCAUAUUUUCAUAAGAAAAUGCAUCACUGUGAAAACUGUAAUAAACAAUUUACAACCCGUCAGUCACGACUACGCCACGAAAAGCUCUAUUGUCAAGUGGUCAAAAAACAGGAAAAUGGAGGACCGGCCGCCAAAAAACAGAAAAUAUGUCAUUCAACUGCUAGCAACAAUUAUAUGUGCGUUACAUGUAAUCAAGAAAUUGCUCCAAAGCUUAUUACGGCUCAUGAGAGAAGUAGACAGCAUAGAAAUAAUUGUCAAAGUACUCCCUUGGAGGAUGGGGUGUUUGCACUCAGCAGUGCAUUUAAAUCACGCACCGCUUCAUAUAGGAUUUGUGAUGAGGGCGAUUAUAUCGAUUUAAAUGAAUUUAUGGAUAAAAUUCACAAUAAAUUACUUGGACUUAUUGUUUCACAAAUUGAAAAAUUUAGUACAAUCAAAAUUAAUUUGGAAUUAUUUGGAUUGUAUACCAUUGAGUCAAAAAAUAUAUUUGAUGUAAAAUCUUUCAAUACUACUAACAGAAUUGUCACUUUAGGCACGAAUAUUAGGAAUAUGUUGCAUGACUUUCAAGAAGUUAUUAGUCAAAAAAUGAUGGAUUUUUUGGAACGAGAUUCAGGCUGGACACUUGUGAAAAUCUUACAUUUAGAAUUAAAUGUAAACUAUUACAAUCCAUUGAAAGCUUCAUCGUAUAUCCCACUACCGCCAAGCGUGAAAAUGAAGAGGGCAAUAGUUAAUGUUCAAAAUCAGGAUAUUCAUUGUUUUGGUUGGAGUGUCGUAGCAGCAGUGUGUCUACCUAUGGGACCAGAACAUUUACCCAGUUCAUAUCCACAUUGGUCGACACUUUUUAAUUUCCAAGGUAUUGAAUUUCCUGUAAAACUGGAUAGUAUUGCAAAAUUUGAAAGUCAAAAUAAUGUCUCACUUAAUGUUUACGGACUU
Long non-coding RNA from Tribolium castaneum (red flour beetle), 1906 nucleotides. RefSeq lists it as uncharacterized. The transcript has 3 exons. The record is from RefSeq and is a predicted model, not a curated record. Lineage: Eukaryota; Metazoa; Arthropoda; Insecta; Coleoptera; Tenebrionidae.